ACCCUGAAUGAAAGCGGCGAACGGGUGAGUAACACGUAAACAAUCUGCCUGUAAGUCCGGGAUAACCUUGCCAACGCGGGGCUAAUACCGGAUGUAGAAUGUUUAGUCGCAUGACUGAAUAUUUAAAGGUGGCGCAAGCUACCGUUUACAGAUGAGUUUGCUGUCCCAUUAGCUAGUUGGCGGGGUAACGUGCCCACCAAGGCAGUGAUGGGUAGCCGGCCUGAGAGUGGUGAACGGCCACACUGGGACUGAGAUACGGCCCAGACUCCUACGGGAGGCAGCAGUAGGGAAUUUUGCGCAAUGGGCGAAAGCCUGACGCAGCAACGCCGCGUGAGUGAUGACGGCCUUCGGGUUGUAAAGCUCUGUUGUACGGGAAGAAAAGGUGUAUGGCUAAUAUCCAUAUUCUAUGACGGUACCGUGCGAGGAAGCUCCGGACUAACUACGUG
This 446-nucleotide ribosomal RNA is filed under the name uncultured bacterium. RNAcentral describes it as "bacterial SSU rRNA". It matches the Rfam family "Bacterial small subunit ribosomal RNA", at positions 82 to 507 of the family's 1533-position model. The record is from RNAcentral.